Panicum virgatum (switchgrass) is the source of this 815-nucleotide long non-coding RNA. RefSeq lists it as uncharacterized. The transcript is spliced from 4 exons. The record is from RefSeq and is a predicted model, not a curated record. Lineage: Eukaryota; Viridiplantae; Streptophyta; Magnoliopsida; Poales; Poaceae.
CCGCCGCUCCCAGCCACUGCCUCCGGCGCCGCUCUGAGCGGCCGCGCUCCCGAGCGCCAUCCCCCCCCCCAACCCGCACAGAGGUUGCGAGCCCGCCGCUGGUGGCCGCGGUGCCGCGAGGCCGCAGCUCCGCCCUCACCGGCUCAGAUUCGCCAGGUGCUCCGUCUGUCCCAGCGCCGCGCACUCCACCCCUGCCUCUUCCUUGCUCUGACGUCCCAACGCUGUGAUGCGCUACCUCGGAGCCCCAGCGCAAGCAGACCCUAGCGGAGCAGCCCGGGCGCCGGCGUCUCCCUUGGUCCCACUCCCGUGUCCGUGUCGAGCCGGAGAUGCCCCGCCAGUGCCUUUAGGCCGUGCGAACGUCCUCCAGGUUCCAGCAUCCAGCCAAGCUCUGCCAGCCGCCGGGAUUCCUGGGCACCUCUGUCGUGUACACUCAUAUGCUUCAGAUGCCGGCUGCAAUUUGUGAUUCACCAUAUUAAAUGGGGCUUAUGCCGCAUCUGUUGCCACGGAGUCCGCUGCCUAAACUGAAGGGUACAGAUAUUAUUAUGCAACUAUUCACAAGCAUCGUCUAUUCUACUUACAGACUCAUUUCUCGAAUCAGAGCAUCCAGAAAUUUAAACCAACAUAUCUUGCUGUUAUUUCAGCAGUUGACAGCCAAACAGCUGAGUAUGCCUCUUCAAUUAAUCUGAAGGUGCCUCAGGUGGCAUAAUGACCUGUAAAUCUGGAGCUGCUCCUUGAUGAAAAGUGUGACAGCAAGGUGCCACCAUCAAAUCAUCUCUGCAAGAUAUCAUUUCAAGAAUAGUCUGUUCACGUGUUUA